RNAcentral lists this ribosomal RNA (484 nucleotides) under Phyllodactylus baurii (Baur's leaf-toed gecko). Its description in RNAcentral is "partial large subunit ribosomal RNA". It matches the Rfam family "Bacterial large subunit ribosomal RNA", at positions 1813 to 2547 of the family's 2925-position model. Lineage: Eukaryota; Metazoa; Chordata; Lepidosauria; Squamata; Phyllodactylidae. The record is from RNAcentral.
ACAUCGCCUUUAGCCAAACAAGUAUUAAAGGUCCCGCCUGCCCAGUGAGCCCCCUUAAACGGCCGCGGUACUCUAACCGUGCAAAGGUAGCGUAAUCACUUGCCCCCUAAAUAGGGGCUAGUAUGAACGGCUAAAUGAGGGCCUAACUGUCUCCUGCGACAAGCCAAUGAAACUGCUCUCUCAGUACAAAAGCUGAGAUGCCACCACAAGACGAGAAGACCCUGUGGAGCUUCUAAGCACCACACUAACCCCACACCCCGCCCAUAGUGCACGCUUUAAGUUGGGGCGACUACGGAGAAAACCCAAACCUCCACGAAACAGGACUAGCCUCCAUCCAAGGCCAACAAGCCAAAGCUAUCAACUACCCACUGACCCAGCAGCGCUGAUCAACGGACCAAGUUACCCCAGGGAUAACAGCGCAAUCCUCCUCAAGAGUCCAUAUCGCCAGGAGGGUUUACGACCUCGAUGUUGGAUCAGGACACCC